Molecule: ribosomal RNA, 433 nt
Filed under: uncultured bacterium
Lineage: Bacteria
Description: partial 16S ribosomal RNA
Rfam family: Bacterial small subunit ribosomal RNA
Source: RNAcentral
AACGAACGCUGGCGGCAUGCCUAACACAUGCAAGUCGAACGAGACCUUCGGGUCUAGUGGCGCACGGGUGCGUAACGCGUGGGAACCUGCCCUUAGGUUCGGAAUAACUCCCCGAAAGGGGUGCUAAUACCGGAUAAUGUCUUCGGACCAAAGAUUUAUCGCCUUUGGAUGGGCCCGCGUAGGAUUAGCUAGUUGGUAGGGUAAAAGCCUACCAAGGCGACGAUCCAUAGCUGGUCUGAGAGGAUGAUCAGCCACACUGGGACUGAGACACGGCCCAGACUCCUACGGGAGGAAGCAGUGGGGAAUAUUGGACAAUGGGCGAAAGCCUGAUCCAGCAAUGCCGCGUGAGUGAUGAAGGCCUUAGGGUUGUAAAGCUCUUUUACCCGGGAUGAUAAUGACAGUACCGGGAGAAUAAGCUCCGGCUAACUCCGUG